AGAGUUUGAUCCUGGCUCAGGACGAACGCUGGCGGCGUGCUUAACACAUGCAAGUCUAAGGAGAAAGUUCCUUCGGGAGCGAGUAAACUGGCGAACGGGUGAGUAACGCGUAGGUAACCUACCCUUAAGCUCGGAAUUUGGAUUAAUACCGCAUAAUACUCCAGGUACUUAGGUACUUGGGCUCAAAGCUGGGGACUCGGGAAAUCGGGCCUGGCACUUGGAGAGGAGUUCGCGUCAGAUUAGCUAGUUGGUGGGGUAAUGGCCUACCAAGGCAUCGAUCUGUAGCCGGCCUGAGAGGGUGAUCGGCCACACUGGAACUGAGACACGGUCCAGACUCCUACGGGAGGCAGCAGUGGGGAAUUUUGCGCAAUGGGGGAAACCCUGACGCAGCAACGCCGCGUGGGUGAUGACGCAUCUUGGUGUGUAAAGCCCUGUCAGAAGAGACUAAGGUUGCCAAUUUUAAUAGAUAGGUAACUUGACUGUAUCUUCAGAGGAAGCCCCGGCUAACUCCGUGCCAGCAGCCGCGGUAAUACGGAGGGGGCAAGCGUUAUUCGGAUUUACUGGGCGUAAAGGGCGCGUAGGCGGCCCGAUAAGUUAAGGGUGAAAUCCCGGGGCUCAACCCCGGAACUGCUCUUAAAACUGUUUGGCUAGAGACAAAUAGAGGUGGGUGGAAUUCCAGGUGUAGAGGUGAAAUUCGUAGAUAUCUGGAGGAACACCGGUGGCGAAGGCGGCCCACUGGAUUUGUUCUGACGCUAAGGCGCGAAAGCAUGGGGAGCAAACGGGAUUAGAUACCCCGGUAGUCCAUGCCGUAAACGAUGAAUACCAGCUGUUUGACCCAUCGACCGGUCAAGUGGCGCAGCUAACGCGUUGAGUAUUCCGCCUGGGGAGUACGGUCGCAAGACUAAAACUCAAAGGAAUUGACGGGGGCCCGCACAAGCGGUGGAGCAUGUGGUUUAAUUCGACGCAACGCGAAGAACCUUACCUGGGUUUGACAUCCUUGGCCCGCUAUAGAGAUAUAGUUUUCCCUUCGGGGACCAAGUGACAGGUGCUGCAUGGCUGUCGUCAGCUCGUGUCGUGAGAUGUUGGGUUAAGUCCCGCAACGAGCGCAACCCUUAUCCUUAGUUGCCAGCACGUAAUGGUGGGAACUCUAGGGAGACUGCCUGUGUCAAGCAGGAGGAAGGUGGGGAUGACGUCAAGUCCUCAUGGCCUUUAUAUCCAGGGCUACACACGUGCUACAAUGGCAACUACAAAGAGCAGCGAGGUCGCGAGGCCAAGCGAAUCUCAAAAAAGUUAUCUCAGUUCGGAUCGCAGUCUGCAACUCGACUGCGUGAAGUUGGAAUCGCUAGUAAUCGUGGAUCAGCAUGCCACGGUGAAUACGUUCCCGGGUCUUGUACACACCGCCCGUCACACCAUGGGAGUUGACAUUGGCAGAAAACAUUGAGCUAACCUUCGGGAGGCAGAUACUCAAGCUAGUGUUGAUGACUGGGGUGAAGUCGUAACAAGGUAACC
RNAcentral lists this ribosomal RNA (1509 nucleotides) under uncultured prokaryote. RNAcentral describes it as "partial 16S ribosomal RNA". It matches the Rfam family "Bacterial small subunit ribosomal RNA". The record is from RNAcentral.